RNAcentral lists this ribosomal RNA (517 nucleotides) under Mecas rotundicollis. Its description in RNAcentral is "partial large subunit ribosomal RNA". The stretch from base 387 to 517 matches the Rfam family "Bacterial large subunit ribosomal RNA", at positions 2473 to 2603 of the family's 2925-position model. The record is from RNAcentral. Lineage: Eukaryota; Metazoa; Arthropoda; Insecta; Coleoptera; Cerambycidae.
GUCUUUUUGUAAAUAAUUUAAAGUCAAGCCUGCCCACUGAUAAUUUAAAGGGCCGCGGUAUUUUGACCGUGCUAAGGUAGCAUAAUCAUUAGUUUUUUAAUUGAAAGCUGGAAUGAAUGGUUGGAUGAAAAAAUAACUGUCUCUUUUUUAAUAUAAUUAAAUUUUAUUUUUAAGUUAAAAAGCUUAAAUUGAUUUUAAAGACGAUAAGACCCUAUAGAGUUUUAUAAAAUAGAAAUAAUUAAGUUUUUAGAAUUAAAAUUUUAAUUAUUAAUUUUUAUUUAGUUGGGGUGAUUGAAAAAUUUAAUAAACUUUUUUUAAAAUUAUAUUCAUUAAUAAAUGAAAGAUUUGAUCCAAUUUUAUUGAUUAUAAGAUUAAAUUACCUUAGGGAUAACAGCGUAAUUUUUUUAGAGAGUUCAAAUUGAAAAAAAAGAUUGCGACCUCGAUGUUGGAUUAAAAUUAAUUUUUGGUGUAGAGGCUAAGAAUAUUAGGUCUGUUCGACCUUUAAAAUUUUACAUGA